This 3065-nucleotide ribosomal RNA is filed under the name Salmonella enterica. Its description in RNAcentral is "bacterial LSU rRNA". It matches the Rfam family "Bacterial large subunit ribosomal RNA". Lineage: Bacteria; Pseudomonadati; Pseudomonadota; Gammaproteobacteria; Enterobacterales; Enterobacteriaceae. The record is from RNAcentral. RNAcentral also lists the same sequence under 1 other name.
GGGUUGUGAGGUUAAGCGACUAAGCGUACACGGUGGAUGCCCUGGCAGUCAGAGGCGAUGAAGGGCGUGCUAAUCUGCGAUAAGCGCCGGUAAGGUGAUAUGAACCGUUAUAACCGGCGAUACCCGAAUGGGGAAACCCAGUGUGACUCGUCACACUAUCAUUAACUGAAUCCAUAGGUUAAUGAGGCGAACCGGGGGAACUGAAACAUCUAAGUACCCCGAGGAAAAGAAAUCAACCGAGAUUCCCCCAGUAGCGGCGAGCGAACGGGGAGGAGCCCAGAGCCUGAAUCAGCAUGUGUGUUAGUGGAAGCGUCUGGAAAGGCGCGCGAUACAGGGUGACAGCCCCGUACACAAAAGCGCAUGUGCUGUGAGCUCGAUGAGUAGGGCGGGACACGUGGUAUCCUGUCUGAAUAUGGGGGGACCAUCCUCCAAGGCUAAAUACUCCUGACUGACCGAUAGUGAACCAGUACCGUGAGGGAAAGGCGAAAAGAACCCCGGCGAGGGGAGUGAAAAAGAACCUGAAACCGUGUACGUACAAGCAGUGGGAGCCCCACCACCAAAGCAUUUGCUGUACCGCGUUGACGGAGCGAAGCGACGUCAAACCGAUAAAACAGCAGUGUAAAGUGAGCCGCAGGGCGCUUUGCGCGACAGCGCAAAGGCAGGCGGUUUCGCGUAGCGAAAGCGAAUGCUUUGGGGUGGGGUGACUGCGUACCUUUUGUAUAAUGGGUCAGCGACUUAUAUUCUGUAGCAAGGUUAACCGAAUAGGGGAGCCGGAGGGAAACCGAGUCUUAAUUGGGCGUUAAGUUGCAGGGUAUAGACCCGAAACCCGGUGAUCUAGCCAUGGGCAGGUUGAAGGUUGGGUAACACUAACUGGAGGACCGAACCGACUAAUGUUGAAAAAUUAGCGGAUGACCUGUGGCUGGGGGUGAAAGGCCAAUCAAACCGGGAGAUAGCUGGUUCUCCCCGAAAGCUAUUUAGGUAGCGCCUCGUGAAUUCAUCUCCGGGGGUAGAGCACUGUUUCGGCUAGGGGGCCAUCCCGGCUUACCAACCCGAUGCAAACUGCGAAUACCGGAGAAUGUUAUCACGGGAGACACACGGCGGGUGCUAACGUCCGUCGUGAAGAGGGAAACAACCCAGACCGCCAGCUAAGGUCCCAAAGUCAUGGUUAAGUGGGAAACGAUGUGGGAAGGCCCAGACAGCCAGGAUGUUGGCUUAGAAGCAGCCAUCAUUUAAAGAAAGCGUAAUAGCUCACUGGUCGAGUCGGCCUGCGCGGAAGAUGUAACGGGGCUAAACCAUGCACCGAAGCUGCGGCAGCGACACUGUGUGUUGUUGGGUAGGGGAGCGUUCUGUAAGCCUGCGAAGGUGGCCUGUGAGGGUUGCUGGAGGUAUCAGAAGUGCGAAUGCUGACAUAAGUAACGAUAAAGCGGGUGAAAAGCCCGCUCGCCGGAAGACCAAGGGUUCCUGUCCAACGUUAAUCGGGGCAGGGUGAGUCGACCCCUAAGGCGAGGCCGAAAGGCGUAGUCGAUGGGAAACGGGUUAAUAUUCCCGUACUUGGUGUUACUGCGAAGGGGGGACGGAGAAGGCUAUGUUGGCCGGGCGACGGUUGUCCCGGUUUAAGCGUGUAGGUGUGUGUUCCAGGUAAAUCCGGUUCACUUUAACACUGAGGCGUGACGACGAGGCACUACGGUGCUGAAGCAACAAAUGCCCUGCUUCCAGGAAAAGCCUCUAAGCAUCAGGUAACAUCAAAUCGUACCCCAAACCGACACAGGUGGUCAGGUAGAGAAUACCAAGGCGCUUGAGAGAACUCGGGUGAAGGAACUAGGCAAAAUGGUGCCGUAACUUCGGGAGAAGGCACGCUGACACGUAGGUGAAGUGAUUUACUCAUGGAGCUGAAGUCAGUCGAAGAUACCAGCUGGCUGCAACUGUUUAUUAAAAACACAGCACUGUGCAAACACGAAAGUGGACGUAUACGGUGUGACGCCUGCCCGGUGCCGGAAGGUUAAUUGAUGGGGUCAGCGCAAGCGAAGCUCCUGAUCGAAGCCCCGGUAAACGGCGGCCGUAACUAUAACGGUCCUAAGGUAGCGAAAUUCCUUGUCGGGUAAGUUCCGACCUGCACGAAUGGCGUAAUGAUGGCCAGGCUGUCUCCACCCGAGACUCAGUGAAAUUGAACUCGCUGUGAAGAUGCAGUGUACCCGCGGCAAGACGGAAAGACCCCGUGAACCUUUACUAUAGCUUGACACUGAACAUUGAGCCUUGAUGUGUAGGAUAGGUGGGAGGCUUUGAAGUGUGGACGCCAGUCUGCAUGGAGCCGACCUUGAAAUACCACCCUUUAAUGUUUGAUGUUCUAACGUGGACCCGUUACCCGGGUUGCGGACAGUGUCUGGUGGGUAGUUUGACUGGGGCGGUCUCCUCCUAAAGAGUAACGGAGGAGCACGAAGGUUGGCUAAUCCUGGUCGGACAUCAGGAGGUUAGUGCAAUGGCAUAAGCCAGCUUGACUGCGAGCGUGACGGCGCGAGCAGGUGCGAAAGCAGGUCAUAGUGAUCCGGUGGUUCUGAAUGGAAGGGCCAUCGCUCAACGGAUAAAAGGUACUCCGGGGAUAACAGGCUGAUACCGCCCAAGAGUUCAUAUCGACGGCGGUGUUUGGCACCUCGAUGUCGGCUCAUCACAUCCUGGGGCUGAAGUAGGUCCCAAGGGUAUGGCUGUUCGCCAUUUAAAGUGGUACGCGAGCUGGGUUUAGAACGUCGUGAGACAGUUCGGUCCCUAUCUGCCGUGGGCGCUGGAGAACUGAGGGGGGCUGCUCCUAGUACGAGAGGACCGGAGUGGACGCAUCACUGGUGUUCGGGUUGUCAUGCCAAUGGCACUGCCCGGUAGCUAAAUGCGGAAGAGAUAAGUGCUGAAAGCAUCUAAGCACGAAACUUGCCCCGAGAUGAGUUCUCCCUGAGACUUAGAGUCUCCUGAAGGAACGUUGAAGACGACGACGUUGAUAGGCCGGGUGUGUAAGCGCAGCGAUGCGUUGAGCUAACCGGUACUAAUGAACCGUGAGGCUUAACCUUACAACGCCGAAG